GCAGUGGUCGUUCAGUGGUAGAAUUCUCACCUUCCACACGGGAGGCCCAGGUUCAAUUUCAGGCCAGUGCA
This 71-nucleotide transfer RNA is filed under the name Loxodonta africana (African savanna elephant). It matches the Rfam family "tRNA". From Rfam's summary of the family: Transfer RNA (tRNA) molecules are approximately 80 nucleotides in length. Their secondary structure includes four short double-helical elements and three loops (D, anti-codon, and T loops). Lineage: Eukaryota; Metazoa; Chordata; Mammalia; Proboscidea; Elephantidae. The record is from Rfam by way of RNAcentral.